GAUAUAUGACACUCGGCAAAGCUACUGUUUGCCGGCGAAAAAUUCAUCGAGUCCUGGUCGCCGAGUGUUACACUCGGCAAAGUUGUUGCGGAGUGUUUUUGGAGCUUCACCGAGUGCCUGGGGCACUCGGCAAAGCUACUGUUUCCCGUAGUGAGGCUUCAAGCAUCCCAAAUUUGCCAACUACUUCGGCUCUGCUUCUAUAUAAGGUACCUCUUAUCUUUACCUAGACUCAGCCAUCCAUAUAUUCCAACAACUUACAGUACUAUAUGUUUCUCUUCAAUUCCUACCAUUUUCUCCACACUACCUACACCUUGUAUAAUUCCUAAGAAUGAGCCACACAGUGCAUGACUAUGCAACGGGUCGGCGCACACAAUCUCGGCUUUGAGAAUGGGCGGCAUCUAGAAACCAUAGUCUGCCAUCAGCGAAGCACUUUGGGCGAAAGGACAGACACCAAGCAUUAGCUGGCUCGGAGAACAAAUUUCGUUACCCAUUCCUAUUGCAUUCCAUGGCUAAUUAUAACUCCAUACCUGAUGCCGUAUUGCAGAGGAUACUGAUCCGUGCUUCUCAUAAAUUGGGCAAAAACUACCUUCAUGCUUCUUGCUUUCUACUUUCACACGGC
Molecule: long non-coding RNA, 619 nt
Filed under: Setaria viridis
Lineage: Eukaryota; Viridiplantae; Streptophyta; Magnoliopsida; Poales; Poaceae
Description: long non-coding RNA (SVIR_LNC001580)
Source: RNAcentral